This 253-nucleotide ribosomal RNA is filed under the name uncultured bacterium. Its description in RNAcentral is "partial 16S ribosomal RNA". It matches the Rfam family "Bacterial small subunit ribosomal RNA", at positions 524 to 776 of the family's 1533-position model. The record is from RNAcentral.
UACAGAGGGUGCAAGCGUUGUUCGGAAUCACUGGGCGUAAAGCGCGCGUAGGCGGCUUUUCAAGUCAGGGGUGAAAUCCCACAGCUUAACUGUGGAACUGCCUCUGAAACUGUGAAGCUAGAGUGUCGGAGGGGAUAGCGGAAUUCCUAAUGUAGAGGUGAAAUUCGUAGAUAUUAGGAGGAACACCGGUGGCGAAGGCGGCUAUCUGGACGACAACUGACGCUGAGGCGCGAAAGCGUGGGGAUCAAACAGG